CCUACGGGGGGCUGCAGUGGGGAAUAUUGGACAAUGGGGGGAACCCUGAUCCAGCCAUGCCGCGUGUGUGAAGAAGGCCCUCGGGUUGUAAAGCACUUUCAGUGAGGAAGAACGCCUGGUGGUUAAUACCCAUCAGGAAAGACAUCACUCACAGAAGAAGCACCGGCUAACUCCGUGCCAGCAGCCGCGGUAAUACGGAGGGUGCGAGCGUUAAUCGGAAUUACUGGGCGUAAAGCGCGCGUAGGUGGCUUGAUAAGCCGGUUGUGAAAGCCCCGGGCUCAACCUGGGAAUGGCAUCCGGAACUGUCAAGCUAGAGUGCAGGAGAGGAAGGUAGAAUUCCCGGUGUAGCGGUGAAAUGCGUAGAGAUCGGGAGGAAUACCAGUGGCGAAGGCGGCCUUCUGGACUGACACUGACACUGAGGUGCGAAAGCGUGGGUAGCAAACAGGAUUAGAUACCCCUGUAGUC
This 465-nucleotide ribosomal RNA is filed under the name Vreelandella stevensii. Its description in RNAcentral is "partial 16S ribosomal RNA". It matches the Rfam family "Bacterial small subunit ribosomal RNA", at positions 338 to 795 of the family's 1533-position model. Lineage: Bacteria; Pseudomonadati; Pseudomonadota; Gammaproteobacteria; Oceanospirillales; Halomonadaceae. The record is from RNAcentral.